CCCCCAAAAAACCUGCCCCUAAUGCCGCAGAUCUCCGAAGCCAGCCCUUCCUGCGAGCUGACGCGGUGAUCCGGAAUGGGUGGAAGCGACCCUAAAGACCCCUCACUCACUCACCCAAUGCUACUUUCCCCCCGCUUUCUUCUGAAAUGGGAUCUUCCUGCAAUUCACAGUGACUGAGGGAAGUGCAGGACCAAACCAGUAUCUUUGGUUUUAAGGGGAUGUGGAAGUUGUUAUUUAUUUAUGGAAAUCCUUUUUGGAUUCUGCACUGGAGGCUCUUUCAAUAAAGCCAUAAAAGCACAGACAUUAAGGGCGGCCUCACGAACUCUCGCGUACGCAAAUCCUGAGGAGAGUCUGUAACAGCUUGUGUUGGCACAGGAAAAAUGCUUGUUGUGAUUGACAAACCGACAGCAGUAACACUAGCCUGCUGACCCUGAAGAGCCUUCUAUUGGGAUUGCACACCCAUUAACGUGGAUUUCCUUUUAUUGUGCAAUGUAAGCAUGACUUGAGGUCACUGACUUUCAGGCCUGAGCCCGUUUGUACAGUUCUUUUAUUAGCUAUGAACUCAAAAAGAUGUAUUAAUCCUAACUACCUGGAGUGGACUAGUCUGUCUCCAGUAUUGUUACCCUAUCGUUACAAAGAAGUGCCUUUCUGCUGAGUCAGUAUUAUUUCUUAUAGCCAAUAUUGAUGUAUCUAAGUUUAUACUUGUGUUAAUUAUUAUGUUGUAACAUUUUGAAUGCUUAAUGUAAAUAUUAUAUGCAGUUAUCCAUUGUAGCUUUAACAAAAGAGCCUGAAGUGCUCUAUUUGAUUCAUGUGCCUUGUAGGCUUGUUGAUGGUGCCUUCUUCACCCAGCUUUUUAAAUGUUUAAUGCGCAUGUACCAGAACAAAGUGUACAUAACGUUAUGCCAUGCCUUGAAACGUAUUCUUUCUCAGAGAAUGAUGUUCGGAUCCAUUCUUUACCACACAGAAUUCUUAUGUAUAUAAAUGCAU
Long non-coding RNA from Carassius auratus (goldfish), 987 nucleotides. RefSeq lists it as uncharacterized. The record is from RefSeq and is a predicted model, not a curated record. The transcript is spliced from 2 exons. NCBI's taxonomy places the organism in Eukaryota, Metazoa, Chordata, Actinopteri, Cypriniformes, Cyprinidae.